AUGCCCAACAGCAAGCCCAUAAGCAAAAACCAACGUACACCCAGCAAUACCCCCUAAGA
RNAcentral lists this ribosomal RNA (59 nucleotides) under Plectorhinchus orientalis (oriental sweetlips). Its description in RNAcentral is "partial 16S ribosomal RNA". The record is from RNAcentral. Lineage: Eukaryota; Metazoa; Chordata; Actinopteri; Lutjaniformes; Haemulidae.